UACGUAGGGGGCAAGCGUUGUCCGGAAUUAUUGGGCGUAAAGAGCGUGUAGGCGGUCCGGUAAGUCAGCUGUGAAAGUCAAGGGCUCAACCCUUGAAAGCCGGUUGAUACUGUCGGGCUAGAGUCCGGAAGAGGCGAGUGGAAUUCCUGGUGUAGCGGUGAAAUGCGCAGAUAUCAGGAGGAACACCAAUUGCGAAGGCAGCUCGCUGGGACGUUACUGACGCUGAGACGCGAAAGCGUGGGGAGCAAACGGG
This 253-nucleotide ribosomal RNA is filed under the name uncultured bacterium. RNAcentral describes it as "partial 16S ribosomal RNA". It matches the Rfam family "Bacterial small subunit ribosomal RNA", at positions 524 to 776 of the family's 1533-position model. The record is from RNAcentral.